AUGGUCUAUACUCACCACGUUCAUGGAACACAAGUGAACGACUGACUGAAUCAUAUGUUCGAUUUCCGAUCUCAUCUGAUCCAUCACUCAACACUCAUACGGCACUGCUUUACGAGCAUCCUUUCGCGUAUUUUAUUUCGAUUUAAAAUUUUUUUCAUUGCAAUUUUUGUAUUUUGGUAAAAUAGCUGUUUUCAGUGUUGGGGGGCGUUGUGUCCGCUCACCUCGGCUUCGCCUCGGUUGCGCGGGUCGCUUUGUUGUUCAUACUAUGUCUGUUAACUUCCCUCGGCCUUCGGCCUCGGUGAGCAGUGCUGUGAGAACGAACGAAAACGGGAACGGGAACGCAUAAAGAACGCAACUUUUCAAAUUUCCUUCAAAGAACGAACGGAUAAUCACACAAAUCCUCUUGAAGAACGUUCUUACUGAGAAUGAGAACAUUAAAUUUGUGAGAACGAGAACGGGAACGGGAACGGAGUGCUAAUUUGCCAUUCUUAGAUGUUCUUUCAGGGUUCUCAAAUUACCUCCCAAAACUCUGAAAAAUAGGAAAAAAUAUGCUUUUUCCACAAACUUUUAGUAGUUUUUGGGUACAAUAGAAGAAAAUGAAAAAAUUUCCAUCAAAAAUGGCUUCGCUUGUACCACAGAACCCUAUUGGGAACGGGAACGGGAACACAGGAACGUAAAUUUUGGAAAUUUGAUUGAGAACGAGAACGGGAACGGGAACGGGAACGCUUCUGCUUAUGAAGCAUAAGAACUAGGAACAGGAUAACAGGAACGAGGUCUUAGAUUUUUGGGAGUGAUAAGGAACAAAGAACGGCGUUCUUUAUUGUGAGAACAAAGAACGGGAACGGGAACGAGCACUUCCGCGUUCUCACAGCACUGUCGGUGAGUACAGUUUUUUUAUAAACAACCGCAAGUGCUACAUACACGGUAAAUGUCCAGCCUCCGUCUGAACUCACCAAGGGGAGUAAUGCUCAUCGAGUGAAAUAUAAAUUUUAAACGGCUCGGCUUCGCCUCGCCUAAUGCGCGCACUAUCCAAAAAAACAGUAUUCGUGACGAAAAAGAAGGAAAAAAUAAAAUAAAUUCACAUGAUCGUUCAAUAAUCAAUUUGAAAAAAAUUUGAAUCGAAAAAAAAUUUAAAAAAAUUUUCAGGAUCUGGCGGGGAUUGAUCUCUAGACCUUCCGCACUGUAAUCCAUAUCUUUCACCACUCAGCCAUCGACACUGCUUAUCGAAUAGCGUUUUCGUUCGGUAUACAAGCUGGCAAACAGCGACGAAAACUACCCCCCCACGCGCGCGUAUACAUGUACGCGUACGCGCUCGCAACUAGCAAAAAAGAACGAAUCUGCACUGAUACUUCAUUGUUAUGUUCCAUGAACGUGGUGAGUAUAGACCAUCUCAGUUCUCGACGAUGAAGGACAACAACAACGUCCUCUUGGGAAAUGCUAUAUUCGUACGUGUUUACAGCAUUUGGCAACUUUGGUAGGUAAAAAACUACCUACUCGAUUAUUUUUUAAAUUACGAAAAAAGCAACGAAAACAGAUCAAAAUGGAAAGUUUUAAGCAUAUUUCAACUUAUUACUACUUUAAUUAUGCUUUUAUUUUAAUUUAUUUCCUUUCAACGGUUUCAACUGUGAAAAAAUUGCAAUAUAAAAAUGUGUGUCUGAAAGUAGGAGCUCUCAAAAUGUGUUUGAUUUUUUCAAAAAAUUGUGCGCACUCAACUCAACCCUUUCGUUGCAAGCAUUUCAAUUUCACUCUUCUCUUCUCCCAGCUACUCUUUGAUCGAAUGAACCGCCAAAAUUUUUGAAAAAAUUGACCAAAUUUGAACACGAAUGAAUCUUCUGCCAUUUAUGCUAAAUGCUAAAAUGAUACAGAAUGAUCUCAAACAUCAAUACAGAAUAUUCUUACAUCGAAGAGGAAGAAGUAGAAUUACCUGAAACUGGAUUUGAGUCAGAGAAUGGGACAGAGAAAGGAAAUAUUCAGAUGGAACUAUGGAAGUAGAACGUAGGUACCCAAUAACCUGAUAUUCCAACUGAUGAGAAAACAGAACUAAAUGAUCACAAAGUAAAUCAUACUAAAAGCAAAACCAAACUACCUCUACAAUCUUUCACAUCAUCAUCUUUAUAUGUACGAUGGAAAUGCUCUGUUCGAUGGGACCUUCGCUUUGGUUAGCGAAUAUUAUUUAGAAUAUGGUUUGAAACAAAUAGCUACAAGAAAAUUUAAAAAGAAAAUAAUGCAAAUUAUGCGAAGUUACAGCGUUUAUUGUUAGCAGUGGAUGUAGCUAGCACGUUUAAUUUUAAUUUUCUUCGUCAUAUUGAGGCGUAAACACGAAGAAAAAAUAUAUGAGUCGUAUUCGUAUCUAUCUAUCAUUAUGAACAAGGAACUGAAGAAGUCGACGAGAAUCCUAAAAGCUAAAACUCAAAUCAAGAUCAAGAAUAGAAUCGUGUUUCUACUGCGAAAGAUGUUACUGAUGUGUUUUCUGACAAAAGAUUGUGUAUCUGAGAGAAUACUGGACGAUUUGCGUGAUUUCAUUCUAAAUGCUUCGUGGGAUCAUAAACAAAAAGUAUGCUGAAUUUAUUGUACUCCCUAGACUCAUUAUUAAUAUCUAUAAUAAUUUAAUUUAAUACUCAUUUUUUGUGUUAGGUAUUCCUUAUAGAAGAACGUUUUUAUUACACGGAUCUUCUGCCUGUUGUAAAUCAUAAUUUGUGUUUGCUUAGGCUAGUGAGAAUUGAACUAUGUUCUCUGUAUCUUACACACCUGAUAUGAUGACAAAUUAACCCAUAAUAAGUUGAAUCCUUUGUUGAAUACAACGCUGUAAAAUUGAAUUUUUCUGUUAAAAGAUAUCGAUGCUGCUUUUUCUAAAUUAGGUAACUAUAUUUAUGUUUUUGUCUGGCGAUACAUAUUUAAUUCCUAACGAUUUUUGUGUAGAGUUGAGAAAACACAAUACAUCUAGUGAACUCACAUUGAGCAGCAUUUUUAACUGUUUGGAUGGUGUUACUGCUCCUGAAGGAAGAAUUUUAUUCGAGACUUGCAUCGAUAGAAAAAAAGUAAAGUAUUCUUGAAUUUUGGACUGGUUGACUGUAAAGAUGUUCGAACGCUCUACAGAACGCUACAGAAUUUACAAAAAACGUAAAAAAAAAUUAGGGUUUUUGAGCGCUCAUGACAGUCUCAAAAUGGACUACAGACUGCUGUAAUGCAAUUUUACAGAAAACCGUAUAAGAAAUUUGCGUUUCCUGUAAUUUCUGGAGAUUUCUGUAACUUGCUGGAGAGCGCUCGAACAUCCCUUGGGACUCCUCGAAUUAAUUUUAAAAUUUGAAUUAAAAAUAGUGUGUACCUAGACCUACAUGUCUUAUUUUUAGGUUAGAUCCUCUGUUAAAUGUUAUUGAGACCAGGUAUCUAUAUGUCAAAGAAUACCUAUCUUGGAUUUUGCUUUCAAAAUCACAUAGUACGAUUAUUCAAAAGGUUUUACAAAAGUCUUGCAUCAACGGCGUUGGAAUUUACCCAAGAAAUUAUUAAAAGUGGCAAAAAUACUAUAUCCUUACUUUUCAAGCAAUUUGAAUUUUGCAUUUGCACUCUAUUUAAAGGGUAACCUAGGUGUGGUAAUUGUUUAUGAUGUAAUUAAUAUUACCGAUUUAUGUUGCGAGGGUUUUUUCACGGUUUUGUUGACUAGGAUUUCUCUUUUUGUUCUUUUUACUUUCUUUUUUAUUUGUGCAAAACCAGUAUUGUCAAUUGUGAUAUUUCUAGAUUAUUUUUUGAUGAGCCUCGAUUUACAUUGUGUUUUUUUAAAUACCUACUCAUUUUAAAAAUAUGUAGUGCAUUUAAGGCCCAUGAGAGGGUUUUUGAUUGGGAUAGUAUCGAGAGUAUCUAAUAAGUACUUUUGUGUGUAGAUGGUCGUUUUUACUUUGUUAUGACGAUGUAAGAAUAUGUGUUUUUUAAUGUUGCCCGUGGUUUUUCACAUUUAGAUUAUAGAUUAUAUUAAUCUUUCUUACCUACAACUUUUUUCUCAUUAAAAAAAAAUAGAAUAUUGACUGUUGAGUAUUGAUGUUGACCAUUGUAGGUGUUUUGUUGUUCUUAUUUGUUUGUAGAAUACCAACUAUUUUUUUGCUCAUUGUGUUCUAUGACAUUUUUUUAUCGUGCUUUAUUAAUAAACUAGUUUAUCAUUA
Molecule: long non-coding RNA, 4154 nt
Organism: Planococcus citri (citrus mealybug)
Lineage: Eukaryota; Metazoa; Arthropoda; Insecta; Hemiptera; Pseudococcidae
Exons: 3
Source: RefSeq, a predicted model, not a curated record